UUAAGCGACUAAGCGUACACGGUGGAUGCCCUGGCAGUCAGAGGCGAUGAAGGACGUGCUAAUCUGCGAAAAGCGUCGGUAAGGUGAUAUGAACCGUUACAGCCGGCGAUGUCCGAAUGGGGAAACCCAGUGUGAUUCGUCACACUAUCGUUAACUGAAUACAUAGGUUAACGAGGCGAACCGGGGGAACUGAAACAUCUAAGUACCCCGAGGAAAAGAAAUCAACCGAGAUUCCCCCAGUAGCGGCGAGCGAACGGGGAGCAGCCCAGAGUCUGAAUCAGCUUGUGUGUUAGUGGAACGGUCUGGAAAGUCCGACGGUACAGGGUGAUAGUCCCGUACACCAAAAUGCACAGGUUGUGAACUCGAAGAGUAGGGCGGGACACGUGGUAUCCUGUCUGAAUAUGGGGGGACCAUCCUCCAAGGCUAAAUACUCCUGACUGACCGAUAGUGAACCAGUACCGUGAGGGAAAGGCGAAAAGAACCCCGGCGAGGGGAGUGAAAAAGAACCUGAAACCGUGUACGUACAAGCAGUGGGAGCACCUUCGGGUGUGACUGCGUACCUUUUGUAUAAUGGGUCAGCGACUUAUAUUCUGUAGCAAGGUUAACCGUAUAGGGGAGCCGCAGGGAAACCGAGUCUUAACUGGGCGUUAAGUUGCAGGGUAUAGACCCGAAACCCGGUGAUCUAGCCAUGGGCAGGUUGAAGGUUGGGUAACACUAACUGGAGGACCGAACCGACUAAUGUUGAAAAAUUAGCGGAUGACUUGUGGCUGGGGGUGAAAGGCCAAUCAAACCGGGAGAUAGCUGGUUCUCCCCGAAAGCUAUUUAGGUAGCGCCUCGUGAAUUCAUCUUCGGGGGUAGAGCACUGUUUCGGCUAGGGGGUCAUCCCGACUUACCAACCCGAUGCAAACUACGAAUACCGAAGAAUGUUAUCACGGGAGACACACGGCGGGUGCUAACGUCCGUCGUGAAGAGGGAAACAACCCAGACCGCCAGCUAAGGUCCCAAAGUCAUGGUUAAGUGGGAAACGAUGUGGGAAGGCACAGACAGCCAGGAUGUUGGCUUAGAAGCAGCCAUCAUUUAAAGAAAGCGUAAUAGCUCACUGGUCGAGUCGGCCUGCGCGGAAGAUGUAACGGGGCUAAACCAUGCACCGAAGCUGCGGCAGCGACACUAUGUGUUGUUGGGUAGGGGAGCGUUCUGUAAGCCUGCGAAGGUGACCUGUGAGGGUUGCUGGAGGUAUCAGAAGUGCGAAUGCUGACAUAAGUAACGAUAAAGCGGGUGAAAAGCCCGCUCGCCGGAAGACCAAGGGUUCCUGUCCAACGUUAAUCGGGGCAGGGUGAGUCGACCCCUAAGGCGAGGCCGAAAGGCGUAGUCGAUGGGAAACAGGUUAAUAUUCCUGUACUUGGUGUUACUGCGAAGGGGGGACGGAGAAGGCUAUGUUAGCCGGGCGACGGUUGUCCCGGUUUAAGCAUGUAGGCUGGUUAUCCAGGCAAAUCCGGAUAAUCAAGGCUGAGGUGUGAUGACGAGGUACUACGGUGCUGAAGUAACAAAUGCCCUGCUUCCAGGAAAAGCCUCUAAGCAUCAGGUAACAUCAAAUCGUACCCCAAACCGACACAGGUGGUCAGGUAGAGAAUACCAAGGCGCUUGAGAGAACUCGGGUGAAGGAACUAGGCAAAAUGGUGCCGUAACUUCGGGAGAAGGCACGCUGGUGUGUAGGUGAAGUCCCUGCGGAUGGAGCUGAGAUCAGUCGAAGAUACCAGCUGGCUGCAACUGUUUAUUAAAAACACAGCACUGUGCAAACACGAAAGUGGACGUAUACGGUGUGACGCCUGCCCGGUGCCGGAAGGUUAAUUGAUGGGGUUAUCCGUAAGGAGAAGCUCUUGAUCGAAGCCCCGGUAAACGGCGGCCGUAACUAUAACGGUCCUAAGGUAGCGAAAUUCCUUGUCGGGUAAGUUCCGACCUGCACGAAUGGCGUAAUGAUGGCCAGGCUGUCUCCACCCGAGACUCAGUGAAAUUGAACUCGCUGUGAAGAUGCAGUGUACCCGCGGCAAGACGGAAAGACCCCGUGAACCUUUACUAUAGCUUGACACUGAACAUUGAGCCUUGAUGUGUAGGAUAGGUGGGAGGCUUUGAAGCGUGGACGCCAGUCUGCGUGGAGCCAACCUUGAAAUACCACCCUUUAAUGUUUGAUGUUCUAACGUUGGCCCCUUACCGGGGUUGCGGACAGUGUCUGGUGGGUAGUUUGACUGGGGCGGUCUCCUCCCAAAGCGUAACGGAGGAGCACGAAGGUUAGCUAAUCCUGGUCGGACAUCAGGAGGUUAGUGCAAUGGCAUAAGCUAGCUUGACUGCGAGCGUGACGGCGCGAGCAGGUGCGAAAGCAGGUCAUAGUGAUCCGGUGGUUCUGAAUGGAAGGGCCAUCGCUCAACGGAUAAAAGGUACUCCGGGGAUAACAGGCUGAUACCGCCCAAGAGUUCAUAUCGACGGCGGUGUUUGGCACCUCGAUGUCGGCUCAUCACAUCCUGGGGCUGAAGUAGGUCCCAAGGGUAUGGCUGUUCGCCAUUUAAAGUGGUACGCGAGCUGGGUUUAGAACGUCGUGAGACAGUUCGGUCCCUAUCUGCCGUGGGCGCUGGAGAAUUGAGGGGGGCUGCUCCUAGUACGAGAGGACCGGAGUGGACGCAUCACUGGUGUUCGGGUUGUCAUGCCAAUGGCACUGCCCGGUAGCUAAAUGCGGAAGAGAUAAGUGCUGAAAGCAUCUAAGCACGAAACUUGCCCCGAGAUGAGUUCUCCCUGAGACUUUAAGUCUCCUGAAGGAACGUUGAAGACGACGACGUUGAUAGGCCGGGUGUGUAAGCGCAGCGAUGCGUUGAGCUAACCGGUACUAAUGAACCGUGAGGCUUAACCUU
This 2900-nucleotide ribosomal RNA is filed under the name Klebsiella aerogenes. RNAcentral describes it as "bacterial LSU rRNA". It matches the Rfam family "Bacterial large subunit ribosomal RNA". The record is from RNAcentral. RNAcentral also lists the same sequence under 1 other name. Lineage: Bacteria; Pseudomonadati; Pseudomonadota; Gammaproteobacteria; Enterobacterales; Enterobacteriaceae.